Molecule: non-coding RNA, 87 nt
Organism: Mycena leptocephala
Lineage: Eukaryota; Fungi; Basidiomycota; Agaricomycetes; Agaricales; Mycenaceae
Source: the annotation of a GenBank genome assembly
GCGUGGAUGGUGUAGCGGUAACAUUGGGUCUUCCCACAUUAUGUGAUACCGUUGGCCUAGCUCCGGGUUCGACUCCCGGUUCACGCA